UACGUAGGGGGCAAGCGUUGUCCGGAAUUAUUGGGCGUAAAGGGCUCGUAGGCGGUUUGUCGCGUCUGCCGUGAAAGUCCGGGGCUCAACUCCGGAUCUGCGGUGGGUACGGGCAGACUAGAGUGAUGUAGGGGAGACUGGAAUUCCUGGUGUAGCGGUGAAAUGCGCAGAUAUCAGGAGGAACACCGAUGGCGAAGGCAGGUCUCUGGGCAUUAACUGACGCUGAGGAGCGAAAGCGUGGGGAGCGAACAGG
RNAcentral lists this ribosomal RNA (253 nucleotides) under uncultured bacterium. Its description in RNAcentral is "partial 16S ribosomal RNA". It matches the Rfam family "Bacterial small subunit ribosomal RNA", at positions 524 to 776 of the family's 1533-position model. The record is from RNAcentral.